CGACGCUUAAUAUGUUCCAUGUUUACAGUGCUACUCAUACCAGGAAUUUGGUAAAUGUCUUUGGCAUAGUUGAACAGGUUUGGGUACUCUCUUAGCAGCUUUUUGUUGCACUUGAAACUGCGUAAACCUCAUCAAAUCUUAUGAGGGAAACAAACAACCGAAUAUCUGCUUCGGACAGAGUGUUUCCACAUAUAUAGCGUCGCUUUCCAAGUAUUCUGUCACAUUUAUAAAGUGCUUCAUACAAUAGUUUAACAGCCUCC
RNAcentral lists this unclassified non-coding RNA (260 nucleotides) under Hevea brasiliensis (rubber tree). The record is from RNAcentral. Lineage: Eukaryota; Viridiplantae; Streptophyta; Magnoliopsida; Malpighiales; Euphorbiaceae.